Molecule: ribosomal RNA, 959 nt
Filed under: marine metagenome
Description: bacterial SSU rRNA
Rfam family: Bacterial small subunit ribosomal RNA
Source: RNAcentral
GGAAACUCUGAUGCAGCGAUGCCGCGUGAGUGAAGAAGGCCUUUGGGUUGUAAAGCUCUUUCGUCGGGGAAGAAAAUGACUGUACCCGAAUAAGAAGGUCCGGCUAACUUCGUGCCAGCAGCCGCGGUAAUACGAAGGGACCUAGCGUAGUUCGGAAUUACUGGGCUUAAAGAGUUCGUAGGUGGUUAAAAAAGUUGGUGGUGAAAUCCCAGAGCUUAACUCUGGAACUGCCAUCAAAACUUUUUAGCUAGAGUAUGAUAGAGGAAAGCAGAAUUUCUAGUGUAGAGGUGAAAUUCGUAGAUAUUAGAAAGAAUACCAAUUGCGAAGGCAGCUUUCUGGAUCAUUACUGACGCUGAGGAACGAAAGCAUGGGUAGCGAAGAGGAUUAGAUACCCUCGUAGUCCAUGCCGUAAACGAUGUGUGUUAGACGUUGGAAAUUUAUUUUCAGUGUCGCAGCGAAAGCAUUAAACACACCGCCUGGGGAGUACGACCGCAAGGUUAAAACUCAAAUGAAUUGACGGGGACCCGCACAAGUAGUGGAGCAUGUGGUUUAAUUCGAAGAUACGCGCAGAACCUUACCAACACUUGACAUGUUCGUCGCGACUCUAAGAGAUUAGAGUUUUCGGUUCGGCCGGACGAAACACAGGUGCUGCAUGGCUGUCGUCAGCUCGUGUCGUGAGAUGUUGGGUUAAGUCCCGCAACGAGCGCAACCCUCACUUUUAGUUGCCAUCAUUUAGUUGGGCACUCUGAAAGAACUGCCAGUGAUAAGCUGGAGGAAGGUGGGGAUGACGUCAAGUCCUCAUGGCCCUUACGUGUUGGGCUACACACGUGCUACAAUGGCAUUUACAAUAGGAAGCAAGAUGGCGACAUCAAGCCAAUCCUAAAAAGAUGCCUCAGUUCGGAUUGUACUCUGCCACUCGAGUACAUGAAGCUGGAAUUACUAGUAAUCGCGGAUCAGCG